This 22-nucleotide small nuclear RNA is filed under the name Arabidopsis thaliana (thale cress). RNAcentral describes it as "snRNA_16139". Lineage: Eukaryota; Viridiplantae; Streptophyta; Magnoliopsida; Brassicales; Brassicaceae. The record is from RNAcentral.
UGUCUAUUGAAUGCAACUUUUU